UGGAAAGAAGGGGAGUUCAACCCCUGUUCGCAGGUCUACAGCCUACCACUUGAACACUCAGCCAUCUUACC
RNAcentral lists this transfer RNA (71 nucleotides) under Dibamus novaeguineae. RNAcentral describes it as "tRNA-Tyr". The record is from RNAcentral. Lineage: Eukaryota; Metazoa; Chordata; Lepidosauria; Squamata; Dibamidae.